UAGGGAAUAUUGCAAAAUGGGCGAAAGCCCGAUGCAGCAACGCCGCGUGGGCGAUGAAGGCCUUCGGGUCGUAAAGCCCUUUUUGAGGGGAUGAGGAAGGACAGUACCCUCAGAAUAAGCCUCGGCUAACUACGUGCCAGCAGCCGCGGUAAAACGUAGGAGGCGAGCGUUAUCCGGAUUUACUGGGCGUAAAGCGCGUGCAGGCGGAUUGGAGAGUUGGAUGUGAAAGCUCCCGGCUUAACUGGGAGAGGUCGUUCAAUACUUCCAGUCUUGAGUGCAGUAGAGGGAAGUGGAAUUCCGGGGGUAGUGGUGAAAUGCGUAGAUAUCCGGAGGAACACCAGUGGCGAAAGCGGCUUCCUGGACUGUAACUGACGCUCAGACGCGAAAGCUAGGGUAGCAAACG
RNAcentral lists this ribosomal RNA (403 nucleotides) under uncultured bacterium. Its description in RNAcentral is "bacterial SSU rRNA". It matches the Rfam family "Bacterial small subunit ribosomal RNA", at positions 355 to 774 of the family's 1533-position model. The record is from RNAcentral.